Molecule: long non-coding RNA, 202 nt
Organism: Pan troglodytes (chimpanzee)
Lineage: Eukaryota; Metazoa; Chordata; Mammalia; Primates; Hominidae
Exons: 2
Source: RefSeq, a predicted model, not a curated record
GGUUAAGCUUGCUAAAUGUCAACUGGAAUUUUGUACUAUAAUAACCUGCAACUUGGUUCCAAAAUCAGCCAUGUUUUUGACAAAUAUGCUUUCCUGGCUGAAAACCAUGAAUGACCCAGAAUAGUUCAUAUCUUUGGAAGAUCCUUAUUUUCCUUGUAAAUGAAAGUCAUGCAUUUGGAAUAAUAACAUGAAAUGAUGUGAA